This 71-nucleotide transfer RNA is filed under the name Leptospiraceae bacterium. RNAcentral's name for it is "tRNA-Gly". It matches the Rfam family "tRNA". Rfam says of the family: Transfer RNA (tRNA) molecules are approximately 80 nucleotides in length. Their secondary structure includes four short double-helical elements and three loops (D, anti-codon, and T loops). Lineage: Bacteria; Pseudomonadati; Spirochaetota; Leptospiria; Leptospirales; Leptospiraceae. The record is from RNAcentral.
GCGGGCGUGGUGUAACGGUAGCACAGCAGCCUUCCAAGCUUCUGGAGAGGGUUCGAGUCCCUUCGCCCGCU